RNAcentral lists this long non-coding RNA (273 nucleotides) under Brassica napus (rape). RNAcentral's name for it is "long non-coding RNA (BNAP_LNC017047)". Lineage: Eukaryota; Viridiplantae; Streptophyta; Magnoliopsida; Brassicales; Brassicaceae. The record is from RNAcentral.
UCACGGCCCGUUUUAACCCAAAACGUCCAUGAAGACAACCAAAGAUCGGGUCGGGCCAAAGGUGAAUCAAGCCCACUCCACUAAGUAUUUUCUUAAGCUUUAAGUCUUUUGUAAAAUAUCUUAGGUAUGGAGAAGUGUAGAGAAGUGUAGAGAAGUGUAGAAAAGUGUAGAAGGUUGUGGAACACUUGAGAAGAAGUUUCACAACCGUUAGAUCGGUUUGAUCUGAACCGUUCGUUGAGGAAGAGAAAGUGUAUAUAAAGGGGAUCACCCCUC